GACGAACGCUGGCGGCGUGCUUAACACAUGCAAGUCGAACGGAAAGGCCCUGCUUUUGUGGGGUGCUCGAGUGGCGAACGGGUGAGUAACACGUGAGUAACCUGCCCUUGACUUUGGGAUAACUUCAGGAAACUGGGGCUAAUACCGGAUAGGAGCUCCUGCUGCAUGGUGGGGGUUGGAAAGUUUCGGCGGUUGGGGAUGGACUCGCGGCUUAUCAGCUUGUUGGUGGGGUAGUGGCUUACCAAGGCUUUGACGGGUAGCCGGCCUGAGAGGGUGACCGGCCACAUUGGGACUGAGAUACGGCCCAGACUCCUACGGGAGGCAGCAGUGGGGAAUACUGCACAAUGGGCGGAAGCCUGAUGCAGCAACGCCGCGUGCGGGAUGACGGCCUUCGGGUUGUAAACCGCUUUCGCCUGUGACGAAGCGUGAGUGACGGUAAUGGGUAAAGAAGCACCGGCUAACUACGUGCCAGCAGCCGCGGUGAUACGUAGGGUGCGAGCGUUGUCCGGAUUUAUUGGGCGUAAAGGGCUCGUAGGUGGUUGAUCGCGUCGGAAGUGUAAUCUUGGGGCUUAACCCUGAGCGUGCUUUCGAUACGGGUUGACUUGAGGAAGGUAGGGGAGAAUGGAAUUCCUGGUGGAGCGGUGGAAUGCGCAGAUAUCAGGAGGAACACCAGUGGCGAAGGCGGUUCUCUGGGCCUUUCCUGACGCUGAGGAGCGAAAGCGUGGGGAGCGAACAGGCUUAGAUACCCUGGUAGUCCACGCUGUAAACGGUGGGUACUAGGUGUGGGGUCCAUUCCACGGGUUCCGUGCCGUAGCUAACGCUUUAAGUACCCCGCCUGGGGAGUACGGCCGCAAGGCUAAAACUCAAAGGAAUUGACGGGGCCCCGCACAAGCGGCGGAGCAUGCGGAUUAAUUCGAUGCAACGCGUAGAACCUUACCUGGGUUUGACAUGGAUCGGGAGCGCUCAGAGAUGGGUGUGCCUCUUUUGGGGUCGGUUCACAGGUGGUGCAUGGCUGUCGUCAGCUCGUGUCGUGAGAUGUUGGGUUAAGUCCCGCAACGAGCGCAACCCUUGUUCACUGUUGCCAGCACGUUAUGGUGGGGACUCAGUGGAGACCGCCGGGGUCAACUCGGAGGAAGGUGGGGAUGACGUCAAGUCAUCAUGCCCCUUAUGUCCAGGGCUUCACGCAUGCUACAAUGGCUGGUACAGAGAGUGGCGAGCCUGUGAGGGUGAGCGAAUCUCGGAAAGCCGGUCUCAGUUCGGAUUGGGGUCUGCAACUCGACCUCAUGAAGUCGGAGUCGCUAGUAAUCGCAGAUCAGCAACGCUGCGGUGAAUACGUUCCCGGG
RNAcentral lists this ribosomal RNA (1343 nucleotides) under uncultured bacterium. RNAcentral's name for it is "16S ribosomal RNA". It matches the Rfam family "Bacterial small subunit ribosomal RNA", at positions 28 to 1378 of the family's 1533-position model. The record is from RNAcentral.